GUGCAGCAGUCGAGAAACCUCCGCAAUACACGAAAGUGUGACGGGGCCAUCCCGAGUGCCGUCCGCUGAGGACGGCUUUUCCCCAGUGUACACAGCUGGGGGAAUAAGGAGAGGGCAAGCCUGGUGUCAGCCGCCGCGGUAAUACCAGCUCUCCGAGUGGUGGGGACGCUUAUUGGGCCUAAAGCAUCCGUAGCCGGCUGGGCAAGUCCUCCGUUAAAUCCAACGAUUCAAUCGUUGAGCUGCGGGGGAUACUGUCCAGCUUGGGGGCGGGAGAGGCCGACGGUAUUCCCGGGGUAGGGGUGAAAAUCCUAUAAUCCCGGGAGGACCACCAGUGGCGAAGGCUGUCGGCUAGAACGCGCCCGACGGUGAGGGAUGAAAGCGUGGGGGAGCGAACCGGAUUAGACUACCCCCGUAGU
RNAcentral lists this ribosomal RNA (416 nucleotides) under uncultured microorganism. RNAcentral describes it as "bacterial SSU rRNA". It matches the Rfam family "Archaeal small subunit ribosomal RNA", at positions 330 to 745 of the family's 1478-position model. The record is from RNAcentral.